UUCAGCAUAUGCAAUAUCGACUCUUAGUUUUUGAAUAAAUUCUACUUCUAUUGCACAAACAUAUUUCACACACUUUAGGAGGACUUAGGGUUGUAACGGGGCUUAGGACAGGUGGGAUAAACAACAAACGGAUACACAAGGGUUUUUGGGCUCGGCACUCAUGCUAUUUUUCUUGUACCUGUGAUUAUUUUGAUAUAAAGGGGUUCGACAUCGACUAUUUAACUUUACUCAACAGAUUGAGUAUUGCAAAUGUACUCAAGUCGUUUAGUGGGGACAAGUGCAUUUUUAUCAGUUCUAUUUUUCUUUUCUCUUCUUUUUGUUUCAGAGCAUUCAAAAAGCCUCCAAUUUAUUUUUCUUUUUCUCUUUUCUUGUAACAAUUUUUCUCACGCUUGUCCCUUUUUGUAUUAGAUUCACCACCCCAAACUUAGAAUUCAACACAGUUUCAAAAUCCACAACAUUCAUGCCGAGCAAGGGUAAAAGAGAUUAUUA
RNAcentral lists this long non-coding RNA (489 nucleotides) under Lathyrus oleraceus (garden pea). RNAcentral describes it as "Pisum sativum (pea) long non-coding RNA (PSAT_LNC012362)". Lineage: Eukaryota; Viridiplantae; Streptophyta; Magnoliopsida; Fabales; Fabaceae. The record is from RNAcentral.